AUCUACGGCCGUGCCACUCUGAACAAGCCUGAUCCUGUCUGAUCUUGGAAGCUAAGCAGGGUUGGGCCUGGUAAGUACUUGGGUGGGAGACCACCUAGGAAGACCAGGUGCUGUAGGCG
Molecule: ribosomal RNA, 119 nt
Filed under: Pteropus alecto (black flying fox)
Lineage: Eukaryota; Metazoa; Chordata; Mammalia; Chiroptera; Pteropodidae
Source: RNAcentral